GGACUACCGGGGUAUCUAAUCCUGUUUGCUCCCCACGCUUUCGAGUCUCAGCGUCAGUACUCGUCCAGUUGGCCGCCUUCGCCACCGGUGUUCCUCUCGAUAUCUACGAAUUUCACCUCUACACCGAGAAUUCCACCAACCUCUCCGGUACUCUAGCCUCGCAGUUUCGAGUGCACUUCCAGGGUUGAGCCCUGGGCUUUCACACCCGACUUACGAGACCGCCUACACUCGCUUUACGCCCAGUAAUUCCGAACAACGUUUGCACCCUCUGUCUUACCGCGGCUGCUGGCAC
Molecule: ribosomal RNA, 292 nt
Filed under: uncultured bacterium
Lineage: Bacteria
Description: partial 16S ribosomal RNA
Source: RNAcentral